Molecule: long non-coding RNA, 363 nt
Filed under: Coturnix japonica (Japanese quail)
Lineage: Eukaryota; Metazoa; Chordata; Aves; Galliformes; Phasianidae
Description: lncRNA (ENSCJPG00005007124.1)
Source: RNAcentral
AAUGAACUCUCUCAAGUAUUUUCGUGUGGGGCAUUGUGAGGAAGCACGCUUCAAGCAGUUUCAAGUUAAGUUUUUUCACUGGUGACACUGAUUUGAAGCAACUCAUCUUGUAACUUUAACAAAUUAUUUCUAAAAUUGACUUUGAUAUAAUAGUUUUGUCAUAUGGAGUUGGAAAACAGAUGAAAACAGAAGAGAAAGCAUACACUGAUGGCUGAAAUAUCAGUUCUUACACUGAUUUGCACAGACAGUCUUCUGUUACUCAUUCAUGCUAAGAAACAGAAUUUGGAUUUCUUGCUGCCUGGGAAACACAAAACUUUCACUACUAAUCAGAAGGAUAAUUUCCACAUACAAACAGCGCUUUGA